Molecule: ribosomal RNA, 492 nt
Filed under: uncultured bacterium
Lineage: Bacteria
Description: partial 16S ribosomal RNA
Rfam family: Bacterial small subunit ribosomal RNA
Source: RNAcentral
AGUGAACGCUGGCGGUAGGCCUAACACAUGCAAGUCGAACGGCAGCACAGUAAGAGCUUGCUCUUACGGGUGGCGAGUGGCGGACGGGUGAGGAAUACAUCGGAAUCUACUUUUUCGUGGGGGAUAACGUAGGGAAACUUACGCUAAUACCGCAUACGACCUACGGGUGAAAGCAGGGGAUCUUAGGACCUUGCGCGAUAGAAUGAGCCGAUGUCGGAUUAGCUAGUUGGCGGGGUAAAGGCCCACCAAGGCGACGAUCCGUAGCUGGUCUGAGAGGAUGAUCAGCCACACUGGAACUGAGACACGGUCCAGACUCCGACGGGAGGCAGCAGUGGGGAAUAUUGGACAAUGGGCGAAAGCCUGAUCCAGCCAUACCGCGUGGGUGAAGAAGGCCUGCGGGUUGGAAAGCCCUGUUGUUGGGAAAGAAAAGCAGCAGGUUAAGACCCCGCUGUUCUGACGGUACCCAAAGAAUAAGCACCGGCUAACUUCGUG